This 253-nucleotide ribosomal RNA is filed under the name uncultured bacterium. Its description in RNAcentral is "partial 16S ribosomal RNA". It matches the Rfam family "Bacterial small subunit ribosomal RNA", at positions 524 to 776 of the family's 1533-position model. The record is from RNAcentral.
UACGGAGGGUGCAAGCGUUAAUCGGAAUUACUGGGCGUAAAGCGCGCGUAGGCGGCUGGGUAAGUCGAUUGUGAAAGCCCCGGGCUCAACCUGGGAAUUGCAGUCGAUACUGCUCAGCUAGAGUGUGGGAGAGGGUGGUGGAAUUCCCGGUGUAGCGGUGAAAUGCGUAGAGAUCGGAAGGAACAUCAGUGGCGAAGGCGGCCAUCUGGGACAACACUGACGCUGAAGCACGAAAGCGUGGGGAGCAAACAGG